GGCGAAGGCGGCCCCCUGGACAAGACUGACGCUCAGGUGCGAAAGCGUGGGGAGCAAACAGGAUUAGAUACCUGGUAGUCCACGCCGUAAACGAUGUCGAUUUGGAGGUUGUGCCCGUGAGGCGUGGCUUCCGGAGCUAACGCGUUAAAUCGACCGCUGGGGAGUACGGCCGCAAGGUUAAAACUCAAAUGAAUUGACGGGGGCCCGCACAAGCGGUGGAGCAUGUGGUUUAAUUCGAUGCAACGCGAAGAACCUUACCUGGUCUUGACAUCCACAGAACUUUCCAGAGAUGGAUUGGUGCCUUCGGGAACUGUGAGACAGGUGCUGCAUGGCUGUCGUCAGCUCGUGUUGUGAAAUGUUGGGUUAAGUCCCGCAACGAGCGCAACCCUUAUCCUUUGUUGCCAGCGGUCCGGCCGGGAACUCAAAGGAGACUGCCAGUGAUAAACUGGAGGAAGGUGGGGAUGACGUCAAGUCAUCAUGGCCCUUACGACCAGGGCUACACACGUGCUACAAUGGCAUAUACAAAGAGAAGCGACCUCGCGAGAGCAAGCGGACCUCAUAAAGUAUGUCGUAGUCCGGAUUGGAGUCUGCAACUCGACUCCAUGAAGUCGGAAUCGCUAGUAAUCGUAGAUCAGAAUGCUACGGUGAAUACGUUCCCGGGCCUUGUACACACUGCCCGUCACACCAUGGGAGUGGGUUGCAAAAGAAGUAGGUAGCUUAACCUUCGGGAGGGCGCUUACCACUUUGUGAUUCAUGACUGGGGUGAAGUCGUAACAAGGUAACCA
This 785-nucleotide ribosomal RNA is filed under the name uncultured Enterobacteriaceae bacterium. RNAcentral's name for it is "bacterial SSU rRNA". It matches the Rfam family "Bacterial small subunit ribosomal RNA", at positions 714 to 1502 of the family's 1533-position model. The record is from RNAcentral. Lineage: Bacteria; Pseudomonadati; Pseudomonadota; Gammaproteobacteria; Enterobacterales; Enterobacteriaceae.